This 118-nucleotide non-coding RNA is filed under the name bovine gut metagenome. Its description in RNAcentral is "FMN riboswitch (RFN element)". It matches the Rfam family "FMN riboswitch aptamer (RFN element)". Rfam says of the family: The RFN element is a highly conserved domain that is found frequently in the 5'-untranslated regions of prokaryotic mRNAs that encode for flavin mononucleotide (FMN) biosynthesis and transport proteins. This element is a metabolite-dependent riboswitch that directly binds FMN in the absence of proteins. The record is from RNAcentral.
CGUCUUCGGGGCAGGGUGACCGCUUUGCGGGAUUCCCGACCGGCGGUAAAGUCCGCGAGCCUUCGGGCCGAAUCGGUGAGAUUCCGAUACCGACAGUACAGUCUGGAUGAGAGAAGGG